GAGAAUUAUUUACAGUAGUUGUGGUUGUGGCUCACAUCUUCCUCCGGUUUUACAUCCAGUAACGGCUUAAAUGCCUUCUAUGAGUCGAGGAUCAACUUCUCAUCCAGUUUUUUUAUAAAUUGGCAAAUAGAGCCUUUUAUCUUUAGAUUCCCAAGACGAUUCCAUUCAUAUUGGAAUUGAUAUCAUAAAUCAAGAUUUUUUUACACAGCUCCACUAGAAUGGGUUUUAAGAGAAUUCAGAUAUCUCCUAAAUUCUCCUUACACAAUCUGUCCUUAAUGAAUAUUAUUUUAUCUUCUCGAUUUAUAGAUGCUAUCCCAAUAGAUCAACACUGACCAUUAUAGAUCUUGCACACUUUUGAAAAAUCACUCCAAGGCAUUUUACUCUUCGCUUUCUUGCAUAACUGCUCCUACUUGUACUAGGUAAAUGCAAAAAAAGAAGAUAUUCCUCAAAUAGUACCUUUCCUUCAAUUGUCGCUUAAAUGUCUGUAGGCAUGUCCUUAUGCACGAACAUGCUUAAUCUCUCGCAUCUAACCUUGUAAAGCUUCCCUAUCAUAUUUCUGGGGAGACAAGAAAAUCGUUUGUGCAACAUUGAAAUAAUGUUAUCCAUUUUGAAAACAAAGACAGCUUGAGAAAAAGAUUAGAGUACUUUGAAAGCAAAGAAAAUGAGAUGAGAGAGAAGAGUGAAAGGAUUUGAAUUAAAGAAAAUUUAAAAGUAAG
RNAcentral lists this long non-coding RNA (716 nucleotides) under Gossypium barbadense (sea-island cotton). RNAcentral's name for it is "long non-coding RNA (GBAR_LNC015055)". Lineage: Eukaryota; Viridiplantae; Streptophyta; Magnoliopsida; Malvales; Malvaceae. The record is from RNAcentral.